This 85-nucleotide transfer RNA is filed under the name Felis catus (domestic cat). It matches the Rfam family "tRNA". Rfam says of the family: Transfer RNA (tRNA) molecules are approximately 80 nucleotides in length. Their secondary structure includes four short double-helical elements and three loops (D, anti-codon, and T loops). Lineage: Eukaryota; Metazoa; Chordata; Mammalia; Carnivora; Felidae. The record is from Rfam by way of RNAcentral.
GCCUGGGUGGCUCAGUCGGUUAAGCGUCCGACUUUGGCUCAGGUCAUGAUCUCACGGUCUGUGGGUUCGAGCCCCGCAUCGGGCU